Sinocyclocheilus anshuiensis is the source of this 1693-nucleotide long non-coding RNA. RefSeq lists it as uncharacterized. Lineage: Eukaryota; Metazoa; Chordata; Actinopteri; Cypriniformes; Cyprinidae. The record is from RefSeq and is a predicted model, not a curated record. The transcript is spliced from 2 exons.
UCUUCAUUUGAAAAGUUUUUUUUUUGAUAGAUGUAAUUGUAAAAGUUUUUUCUUGCAUUCUUGUAAUCAAUUUCUUUUCUUUACUUUUCUUUUUUUUUGCAAAUUCAGACAAUUCAAUCAUUUGUAAACGGCAGGUAGAUUUAAAAAGAAAAGGGAUUUCACAGAAUGGAAGAGAGGCACCUUUUGAAAUGAGACAGAAUGUCACUAACUAUCUGGUUAUCUUUACUGUUCAUCCAUGAAUGUAACUGCUUCUCUACCAACUUUCUCACUAUGGCUAAAGUUCAUUUUUUAUCUUCUAUUUUUAUUUUUAUUUUUUUUUAAUAAUGCAAUUGAAUUGAUGCAACACUCUUCAAAAUGAUAACUCUUGUGGGAAUUAAUCCACAAUAAAAGCCACUAUGAGGAUACAAUCUUACAGGUUUUAAACAUUUUAAGAUGAAAAUAAAUCCAUCAAGUCCUUGAGUAAACAUUAACACAUAAAUUGUCAUAAUCUCCCUUGCAGUUUUCUGGGGUUUUUUUUAGUAUAGCUGAGCAAGGGAAAAAAGACACUCAGUGUAUCGCUAAAUAGUAACCAUGGUGGAACAAUUUUUAUAACAGGCGCACAUACAAGUAACAGAGAUAGUACAACAAACUAAAUGGAUCAUAAUUGCAGACAGUCGCCCCGUGGCGAGAAGCAGUGAUUAGAGAGCACACACACACAACCAUUCAAACGUUAACCAUUCAAAGAUAUUUUUUUCUUUCUCAUGAAGAAUGUUAAACCUUGUGAGCAUGUUAUCAAAUAACUUGAAAGUGUCAGACCCAAACAAAAAUUUAAGAAAAAAUAAAUUCACAUUUUACAAUUGGCACACUUUAAUUCAAGUAUCGGUGAAUAUAUAUCUUUUGAUAUGUUUAUGAUUUUUCAUUCUUUGCCCAGAGACAAAAACAUGGUUCAUAAUUACGGGUUUCAACAUAGGUAUACACAAAUACUGCAUGUAUGUCCUGUGUAAUUUAAUUUUAAACAUGCUACUCCAGUAAGACUAUUUGGUUCAUAUCUAUCAUUAAUCACUCUUUCGUUUUUUUUUUCCUUUAGGCAAAUUCUCUCGGAUGACACACUGCAAGGCCUAUUGCUUAUUUCAAAUUAUAUUUUACCUAGUAGUUUCAAAAGGGAAGGAAUCAGAGAUCUGAUAGCAUUUUUUCUACAUAAUGAGCGUGAUAAUAUACAGGAUAAUGUUUAGCUGUAGUCUACCUAUGCUGGUGUCACCAGAGACUUCCUGUGAUGUUUGACUGUUUGGAAUUACAGCCACAUUGUGGUUCACUGUCAGCCAGCCGCGACUGAGUUUGGAACAAGGCAGUUACAUACACAGGCAACAGUGAUCCCCCACACCCAGAAACAGAAAACAAAUAAGUCAAUGAACAACUUUAGUAUCUUAAGACACAUCUGUUGAAAUGUCUUUUCCCAAAAGAAAAAAAAAAGAAGGUUUAUACAGCAUAAAGGCCCAAAAUGAACUGAGACUGAGAUGGAAAUGUACAGUUCAGGGCCCCAUUUUUACAAACAAACAGUUAAUAUGGCAUACACAGAAGGCACUCCAGCUUGCUGUCAACCUUCAGAAUGUGACCAGCAAACAGGAGAUAAUAUCAGCAAGAAGUGCAUUUUUAAAUGUUAUAGAUCUUUUUCCUUCAUUGUUUACGUGUUUUUGUCAAACUUUUAUAAAAAAAA